Molecule: ribosomal RNA, 427 nt
Filed under: uncultured Conexibacter sp.
Lineage: Bacteria; Bacillati; Actinomycetota; Thermoleophilia; Solirubrobacterales; Conexibacteraceae
Also listed under: 1 other name
Description: bacterial SSU rRNA
Rfam family: Bacterial small subunit ribosomal RNA
Source: RNAcentral
UGGGGAAUCUUGCGCAAUGCGCGAAAGCGUGACGCAGCAACGCCGCGUGCGGGAAGACGGCCUUCGGGUUGUAAACCGCUUUCAGUUGGGACGAAGCUUCGAUCGUUAAUAGCGGUUUGAAGUGACGGUACCUUCACAAGAAGCCCCGGCUAACUACGUGCCAGCAGCCGCGGUAAUACGUAGGGGGCAAGCGUUGUCCGGAAUCAUUGGGCGUAAAGCGCGUGUAGGCGGCUCGAUAAGUCUGCUGUGAAAGUCCAAGGCUCAACCUUGGGAUGCCGGUGGAUACUGUCGAGCUCGAGUCCGGAAGAGGAGUGUGGAAUUCCUGGUGUAGCGGUGAAAUGCGCAGAUAUCAGGAGGAACACCAAUGGCGAAGGCAGCACUCUGGGACGUGACUGACGCUGAGACGCGAAAGCGUGGGGAGCAAACA